GUUCCGGACUAACACUCGCUUCGAGGUUUUUGAAAAGCAGCUUUUUGCAAUAAAAAUAGUGGAGAGAGGAGGCUCGUUCAUCCAUCUGUGCUAUAAAAAUAAAAUCAUACUGAGGGGAAAACUUUAUAUUUGUAUUGUGUAAAAUUUUCGGUCCAGACGAUUGUUUUAAAGGAACAUGGUUUAUUAAAAUUGGGAUAUAGUGCCUGAUUAAUAUUUGUAACUGACAAAACUAUGCUGAUAGCCUUGAGAGGCUAUUUCAGCUUCUCUUUGACGUGUAGGUGAGCUCAAAAGAAUGAAACCGGAGUGUUGCUAACACUGGCCCUAGCAAGGGCAAUGCUUCGCAGAAUCUACCACCGGAUCGGAAUAGCGACUCACUGAGAAGAUCCCGCGAGAAACUCAGUGGGCUGUGUUAACAGUAACCAUAGAUACUGAAACAUACUUCAUUUUGCUGUAAUGAAUAUUAUUCCUGGUAGUAGGGCAUCUUGUGAGCCCGCACGAUUGGUUGGUUAGACUACCUUGAUCCCUUGUAUAACUGGGGCCAAAUCCGCACGUCUCAACCUGGAUGUCGGCAUUCACGUUGUGAUGUCUAAAAGCUCCGGUAAAUACUUAACACCUGAUGGGCCGUAAGCUCGUUCAACCGUCUAGGCAAAAGCUGAAAAAAUCAUCGAUAUACCAGUUCGAGCCUGUGCCACACCGCAAGAGAGGAAAACACCUCUGACGAACCAUGAGCAGAAGGUUUAUAAACGACGCAAAAAUUGUUGCAGAAUGCAAAUUUUGUUAGAUUAUAUUCAAAUUCAUGUAAAAUGUUUAAACUUCAUAUAUAUAUUUUUUGCAAUAAAAAUAAAAUCUUAAUUUUUGUUGAAUCCUUCAAGUCGGAGACGAAGGCGGCUCGGACGCGACAACAAUAAAACUGAGGUCAAGGAAACGAAUGACAAGGACAAAAUAUGUAUCUAGCUUAAUAAGCAUGGUACCUAUAGGUUUCGAAGCAACAUAUUUCAAGUUAGAUCAAUUUAUGUAUUAGGUGUAUUAUCAAAUGAUUCACUUGUUAAUUAUUUAUAUAAAUAAAAAUAUAUGUAUCGUAUGUAAUAAAUACAUUUUAUUAGA
This is a long non-coding RNA of Bombyx mori (domestic silkworm), 1104 nucleotides long. RefSeq lists it as uncharacterized. NCBI's taxonomy places the organism in Eukaryota, Metazoa, Arthropoda, Insecta, Lepidoptera, Bombycidae. The transcript has 2 exons. The record is from RefSeq and is a predicted model, not a curated record.